Molecule: long non-coding RNA, 1349 nt
Filed under: Vulpes vulpes (red fox)
Lineage: Eukaryota; Metazoa; Chordata; Mammalia; Carnivora; Canidae
Description: lncRNA (ENSVVUG00000009539.1)
Source: RNAcentral
UGGAAAAUUCCAUCUCUCCCCAAUGCAUCUUAAAAUUGUCACUUGCUUGAUUUUGUUUUGUUUUAAGAUUCUAUUUAUUCAUGAGAGACACAGAGAGAGAGAGAGGCAGAGACAGAGGAAGAGGGAGAAACAGGCUCCAAGGAGAGAGCCCAAUGCGGGGCUCCAUCCCAGGACUCCAGGAUCACACCCUGAGCCAAAGGUAGAAGCGCAACCACUGAGCCACCCAGGCGUCCCUCACUUGCUUGAUUUUGGAUGGAGUCUUACACUCCAGGCUGUAGAAGGGCCAUCCGAAGGGCGAGAUGAACAGGAAAAGGGAAUUGAAUACAGUGAAAUUCUAUUCUUCUAUUAAGAGACUGGAGUCCCCUUUAUUCCUUCAUGUGUGCUAGGUGUAAGGAGUUGGUGUGUCAGCUGACAACCGUUCAUGGAAACCUCACCAAGAAAUGUCUGAUUUUCUAUAGAAUUUAAAGCCCCAGACUGAUCUAUUUUAGUUUCCAGGCAGGUGCUAAUUCUUAUGGCUACAGCAGGCAUCUCUCACUCUUUCAUGUGGCGUUUGGCUAAUAAUAGCUACCAUUUAUUGGCAGCUGCUAUGUUCUGAGAACAAGUUCAGCACUUUCUCUAAUUUGUUUCAUUUAAUCCUAACAGCAACACUGAAACUUGUUCUCCUCAUAUUAUAAAAGAAACUGAGGGCAGAUUUGGGCAGAUUAAAUAAUUUACUUGGGGUUAGAUAUCACCUACACUGCACAGCCAGCCCGGAGACCCAGGUUUUUUAGCUCCAAACCUGUACCCUGAAGGCAUUACAGAAUAGUGAUUAUGACUGUGGGCUCUAAGCCCUCCUGACUGGGCUCAAAUGCCCACCGUGUCAGCCUGGGCAACUUGUGGAACCUUUCUGUGCCUUGGUUUCCUCAUCUGAAAAUGGAGUUCUUAACCCAGUUAACAAAUAGGCGAAAGAUCUGGACGGAUGGCAAAUAAGCGUAUAAAACGAUGCUCAACGACAUACAUCAUUAAGAAAUUGCAAGUGAAAACAACAAUGACAUACCACCACGCCCCUAUUGGAAUAGCUAAAAUCCAAAACAUCGAUAACCCCAAAUACUGGGGAGGAUGUGGAGCGCCAGGAACUCUCAUUUAUUGCUUAUGGAAACGCGAAAGGGUACAGCCACUUUGGAAGACAGUUUGGUGAUUUCUUAUAAAGGUACACAUUCUUAGCAUAUGGUCUAGCAACCGUACUCUUCAACGUGGACUCGAAUAAGUGGAAAACUUAUGUCCACACAAAAACUUGUGCAUGAGUGUUUAGGGCAGCUUUAUUCAUAAUUGCCAACACGUGGAAGCAACCAAAGAUGUUCAAUAAUGGG